UGUUUUAUACUAAAUAGGAAUUCAAAAUGUGUGCUAAUGGGUGACCAUACGAACUGGUGUCACAACCGCAGAAACUUGGAGCACAGAAUACUCACCUGGCUUGACCUAUAAGUUUCCAUGGUAUUGGUGGUUGUAACCGUUGGUUAUCAAGAUUGGACAGAUUCGAUUUGAUUGGUUGCAAUUACAACAAAUAUGGCCAGCUGGAGAUGGAGGAAGGAGGAGAAAGAUAACUGGAGGAUGGUGUGACACCACUGAUACAAAACGCAUCCUCCAUUGUGAAGGACUCUGUUUAGCAUGAAGUGAGCAAAGAGCAUCCAGGAAUUCCUCACAUGCACCUUGCAUGUCACCUGUAAGAAGCUUAACUUCUUACCAAGGAAGGAGGGCCCAAGAUCUGUAUUGAAGGUUGUGGAGAACACAAGGACACUUAUAUUGGGCUACCUUCAUGUUGGAGAGGACAUGUGUGGGAUCCCGCCAAAUUUUAUUUCCUACGAGAUGGUAUGCAGAAGGAACAUAAAGUCUUCCCAGCACCAUGUAUCAGCAAUACGCACCACAGCUCAUAAGCUGAAUAGUUCAGGCCGGUGGUUAUGAAGAAUUCUGUCUUCUGGGAUACAGCACUGUGUAGUCUGCUGAAAGUCAACUUACAUCUCAGAAUAACAUGUUGCUUCCUUCUUCAGGGCUGAAGAACAUGACAAGCAAGAAACCAAUGUGAAGCAAGCAAAGGAACUUUUAAUGUUUAUAUGACAUUGGCCCUGUCAUGUUCAAUUUCAGUUUUCUCUCUGACCUUUUUUGAAGAUGUGAAAAAUACCAUCUGUAAAGUUCAGCAAACAAUUUUGUGAAAGUUUCAAGUUUAUUUUCUGAGAAGUAAAGCACGGGCAGUGCAUAAGGCUGACAACCUUACAAUCUUUGAGCCGA
Cryptotermes secundus is the source of this 912-nucleotide long non-coding RNA. RefSeq lists it as uncharacterized. The record is from RefSeq and is a predicted model, not a curated record. The transcript is spliced from 4 exons. NCBI's taxonomy places the organism in Eukaryota, Metazoa, Arthropoda, Insecta, Blattodea, Kalotermitidae.